AACCGAGAACUCCUACGGGAGGCAGCAGCCGCGGUAAUACGUAGGGUGCAAGCGUUAAUCGGAAUUACUGGGCGUAAAGCGUGCGCAGGCGGUUGUGUAAGUCAGAUGUGAAAUCCCCGGGCUCAACCUGGGAAUUGCAUUUGAGACUGCACGGCUAGAGUGUGUCAGAGGGGGGUAGAAUUCCACGUGUAGCAGUGAAAUGCGUAGAUAUGUGGAGGAAUACCGAUGGCGAAGGCAGCCCCCUGGGAUAACACUGACGCUCAUGCACGAAAGCGUGGGGAGCAAACAGGAUUAGAUACCCUAGUAGUCCGACUGAGA
RNAcentral lists this ribosomal RNA (318 nucleotides) under uncultured bacterium. RNAcentral describes it as "bacterial SSU rRNA". It matches the Rfam family "Bacterial small subunit ribosomal RNA", at positions 491 to 805 of the family's 1533-position model. The record is from RNAcentral.